RNAcentral lists this long non-coding RNA (1005 nucleotides) under Hordeum vulgare. RNAcentral's name for it is "long non-coding RNA (HVUL_LNC018940)". Lineage: Eukaryota; Viridiplantae; Streptophyta; Magnoliopsida; Poales; Poaceae. The record is from RNAcentral.
CCAGAUUUUGCGAGAGGCCUGACCUCCAACCCAUCCUGCUCCGGCGCCCCCUCAUCACCUAUGCCUAUGGUAUGUUCCGUCGCUUCUCAUCAAGAUUCCACCGGUCAACUAUGCCCGCCUCGCCACGCGACCUCACCGCGAACCCAUCUGCCUCGCACCUUCACCACCCCGACCAGCUUCCUUCUCACUCUUCCUCCUGCGAUCCACGCCGCCGAGCGUACUGCUGCUCCCUAGUCCUCUCCAUGGAUGCAACCCUGAGGCAACGCUGCACCAUCCUGGCAUUAACAGGUCGAGCAGCCCAUCCUCGACGACAUUUUGUCCAUCGCCAGGCUCCCACAUGGAUUGAAUCGGCUGUAUCCGGGGUUACAUUGGCCGGCCAGAUAAUACACAUAUCGAUUGCAAAUUUCUUCCCUAUUUGAAGCAACCCAUCUCCAAAUUGAAGGUAUGUGUAGUUCCUCCAUCGUCCCAGAUUUUGGUAUAUUAUAUUCUAGAAAUUGAGCAACCUGACCUAGGUUUUAGAUCAACUCGUCUUGAUGCUUUUUAAUCCUGCUUUGAUUGUUGAUUCUCUUCCUACUAUCCAUGCUUAUUUUCCUACUAUUGUGUUAUUCUAAGAUAUCAUGAAUUUGACACUUCCAAAUACUAGCGGCGCAUGACGCAUGGCUGCCAUUACAUGUUGCAGAGUCCACUCCCGUAGCGAAACGAUGACGAUGUGGUGGCUGGUGGCGGUGAUGACAAGGACGUCAAUGGGAAUGGGGACAUGUAAUGUGAUAGACUGGCGACAGAAUCAUAUUGCGAUUGUGUCGUCCUCUUCUUUGGCGCUGGUGCUUCAAUGGUGCUCCUAAACGACACAAUUCCUUUUAUUCGUCUUGGCAUCAUCUCUCGUUCCUCCGACGCCUCCAAUUUCUCGACGUCACUGGCUCUACAUAUAGUGUUGUGGUUCAUUGUCACAAACGCAAUGCUUCAGAGCCUAUGUAUUAAUUUCUGUACUACUUAUGUAUGUGCUUC